CAGCCGCCACGGGAAUACGAAUGGGGCUAGCGUUAAUCGGAAUUACUGGGUGUAAAGCGUGCGUAGGCGGUUUCGUAAGUCGGGUGUGAAAGCCCCGGGCUCAACCUGGGAAUUGCAUUCGAGACUGCGAAGCUAGGGUGCGGAAGUGGGAAGCGGAAUUUCCGGUGUAGCGGUGAAAUGCGUAGAUAUCGGAAGGAACAUCAGUGGCGAAAGCGGCUUCCUGGUCCAGCGCCGACGCUCAGGCACGAAAGCGUGGGGAGCAAACAGGAUUAGAUACCCCUGUAGUCCCUGUCUCUUAUAC
RNAcentral lists this ribosomal RNA (301 nucleotides) under uncultured bacterium. Its description in RNAcentral is "partial 16S ribosomal RNA". It matches the Rfam family "Bacterial small subunit ribosomal RNA", at positions 509 to 807 of the family's 1533-position model. The record is from RNAcentral.